Molecule: ribosomal RNA, 513 nt
Filed under: uncultured bacterium
Lineage: Bacteria
Description: partial 16S ribosomal RNA
Rfam family: Bacterial small subunit ribosomal RNA
Source: RNAcentral
GACGAACGCUGGCGGCAUGCCUAAUACAUGCAAGUCGAGCGAACGGAUGAAGUGCUUGCACUUCUGACGUUAGCGGCGAACGGGUGAGUAACACGUAAGGAAUCUACCUAUAAGCGGGGGAUAACAUUCGGAAACGGGUGCUAAUACCGCAUAAUAUCUUCUUCCGCAUGGAAGAAGAUUGAAAGACGGCUCUGCUGUCACUUAUAGAUGACCUUGCGGUGCAUUAGUUAGUUGGUGGGGUAAGGGCCGACCAAGACGAUGAUGCAUAGCCGACCUGAGAGGGUGAGCGGCCACAUUGGGACUGAGACACGGCCCAAACUCCUACGGGAGGCAGCAGUAGGGAAUUUUCCGCAAUGGGCGAAAGCCUGACGGAGCAAUGCCGCGUGAGUGAAGAAGGCCUUCGGGUCGUAAAACUCUGUUAUAAGAGAAGAACAAAUUGUAGAGUAACUGCUACAGUCUUGACGGUAUCUUAUCAGAAAGCCACGGCUAACUACGUGCCAGCCGCCGCAGUAA